This is a non-coding RNA of Megalopta genalis, 2082 nucleotides long. The record is from RefSeq and is a predicted model, not a curated record. Lineage: Eukaryota; Metazoa; Arthropoda; Insecta; Hymenoptera; Halictidae.
CGAUAAUCUCAUGACAGGUGCGCCUUGAAUCGGUUAAUACCAGGCUCACACUUUGCCAAGGAAGUUCUACUUAACCCGAGCCGAGCCCUCCUCCUUCGAUUCACGUGGAGGGUGGAAACUGUAUAUAGAUCAAUUAGCAACAGAGGAAGAUGGCAUCCUUUAGCCUUUGGCCACCUUCGUUACACCCUCCACUUUAUUAGGGAGUUAGCAUGCCACGAAGGCGUUAUUCCCAGCGUUGUAUGUUUUCUCUGCGAGGAUUCUCCCUUGCGAACCCAGAGCGCUCAACACGACGAUUGCGUCGACGCCGGGCGUAUUUCUUGAAUCAGGGGUGCACGUUAGACAUAGGGGUUGUUGCCUGCAACCCCGUUCAAUAGGGUGACUCGAAUGACGUAACAAAGCGCGCGUUUUAUCAGGAAAACAACAGUCGACGAAAGAUGCAACUACCCCCAGGAAUUAGGAAUUCUGGCAAUCGGCAGGAGCCAACCCCCACUCUUUGAAACCUCCGCCAUUUUGACGCGUGGGAAUGCUGGAAAAACUGACCUAGUCAACAAGCUUAACCUUUGCGACGUCACGCGGCCUGACAUUCGUACCCGGGAAUUAUAGGGUUCCAGAGGGCAUCUGAAAUGUUGCGCGGGUCCUGCACGGGGGUGGUGAUAUUGACACGCUUUUCGAACCGCACCACCUCCGCAGAACAGGAGCCCAUGCAUCCGAGAGCGUACACAAACAUCGAGGGAGUAGGUGUCAUCGGCAAAGUUCAAUCAACAGCGCUUCCCUCGAUCCUCCCGCUGCAAUAUGCAUUUUCACGGCUCGACACAGUGAGAUUGCGUAUCUCUGGAGGCUUUGCGAAGGAAUGCAUCAAGAAAUUCUAUGGACUCUUACAAUGACUAUUGUAAGUAUUAAGGUUUGAGAAUAAGGACUUUGGCUCUAUCUUCCUGACGAUGUGUUUUGAAGAUUAUUUACGAAAAGGGCCACAAUCAAGAUCAAGGUUGACUCCAUUAUGGUAACUGACUAAAACUAACUAAAACUAAGCCAAAAUAUUUUUCAAGGACUUCACCUGAUGGAAAUCUCUCUCCGACCACCGUCUCGAUCCAUUGUUGGGCUUCAGCCUCCUGGCUAGCCUCUCGUUUCCCAGCAACCUGAAAGCAGAAGAUGAAAGGGUCGCUAUUUUAAAACUUUUUGAAUGUUGAUACUUCAGUAUGAGUGUUAUGGACCGGAUGGGCCCCCCUCCUUCACCCUUGUCGCACGUGUCGAAUAUUCAUUGUCGUUUAUUUUAGAUGUUAUGGAGGAGAGCAAGCGCACCCGGCGGUUUGAUUAACGACGUCUUUCAGUUUUAUAUAUAUAUUCUCUAGAAAUUGAAGAGAAGAUGUUGGUAAAGUGUAUUUUAUUAUUUCAAGUAUGAAAACGUUUAAACUAAUUAUAAAUCCUUUGAAUCUACAAACAUUUUCAAGGUUAGGAUUUUACUCUAUAUUCGAUAAGGUAUCAAGAUAUUUUGUUUCGAUUUGUAUCAUCAGUUUCCGUAGAAACUUCCAAAAAUUGCCGUAGCCGAUGGUAUUUCACAUCGUCAUGGCGGGGUAUUGGUAAAAGUUUUCAACUAGCAAUAAUCGCACCUCGGUAGAACCUCAUUGGUUACGAUAUCGCCACUGCGCAAAGCUGAUGAGCACGUUUUUCCCCGUCCUACUAAUAACAGCGCCAGCAUCUUUUAGCUGCGAGAAAUCCGUCAACCUCGAUGCCAUCUAGUGGCAGGUCCGUCAACUAACCGCCCUAACAAGAUCGUACUACUGUCUCUGGUUUACUGGUCUGUACAAUUUCAAGCUUUAUAAUAACUGCAGUUCAAUCAAACUUUCUAGUACUCAUGAAGUUACUUAACAAUAUAAAUAUACACAAUUUAAUAAACAACAUUCUUCGGUCAGUAUUUCCAACAGCAAUCUAUCCAAUUUGUUUUAAACAACUUUACUUUCAGUUGCUGUGCAAGGCAACUGCAAUCGGUGUAUUUGCAAUUGAACGCAAGUAAAGAUUGGUUGAGUAUUUGCUGGAAAUGCACUGUGAUAGGGAAACAGGAUGCUAAGAGGUGGCAGUUAAGUA